This 71-nucleotide transfer RNA is filed under the name Smittium simulii. It matches the Rfam family "tRNA". Rfam says of the family: Transfer RNA (tRNA) molecules are approximately 80 nucleotides in length. The record is from Rfam by way of RNAcentral. Lineage: Eukaryota; Fungi; Kickxellomycota; Harpellomycetes; Harpellales; Legeriomycetaceae.
GCAGUUGUAGCUUAAUGGUAAAGCAGAUCACUGUUAAUGAUAAAAUUUCUGUUCAAUUCAGAACUACUGCU